Molecule: unclassified non-coding RNA, 240 nt
Filed under: soil metagenome
Description: partial contains 5.8S ribosomal RNA, internal transcribed spacer 2, and large subunit ribosomal RNA
Source: RNAcentral
AACCUAGCACACCUGCGGUGUGUACCUGCGGAAGGAUCAUUAACAAGCUGUGGGAGAUCGAUCAAUUUGAUCUCACACCUGGCCAACCUUGUUAACCUUAAAUAUAUUGCUUUGGUGAGCGCUGGCGGCUUUAGGGUUUAUAUUGAUCAAACAAUAUAUUUCCCAGACUAGUGCUCACCAAAGUCAAACCCUAAACUCUUGAUUGUUUCUGCUGUCUGAGCAUGCAAGUGCAAAAUUUAG